RNAcentral lists this unclassified non-coding RNA (520 nucleotides) under Hevea brasiliensis (rubber tree). Lineage: Eukaryota; Viridiplantae; Streptophyta; Magnoliopsida; Malpighiales; Euphorbiaceae. The record is from RNAcentral.
GGGGCAGUGAUGGUCGAAACGUUCCACACAGUUGUUACAAAUUGAACAAUGUGAACAACGUGGAGGCCUGUACAACAUGCAGGUGUCACAAUAUUUGGUUUUCACAGUUAUUCCAUUGACAGUCACAUCCUUGAUGCGUGGUAAACGUAAUUGGGGAGUUUGACCAGGUCCAGCUAGAGCACUCCCUUCAAAGUUUUCUGGUUCUGGAGGAUGAAGGUUGCGAGGAACUAUACCGGGAUCUCUUCCAGAAGUCAGUAGAAGAAGCACUAUGACAUAUACUGAGAAAACAACGGCUACAACCAUAAUCGACCACCCCCAGUCACCAGAAAAAUCAUCCACCAGUUUCCUCGCAACAAAGACACAAAAAACAGCAACUGGGGCGACUAUUAGGAAGAUAGUCAUAAAGACUGACCUGACAUCAGGUCCAAAAAUGAAUCUUCCUUGAAGAAUAAAUUUAUUACUUCCCUUCCAGACCUGAUAAGUCCGUAUAAAGGCGGCCUGAUUGGUUGCACCAUCGCCG